UUUUCAAUCUUUUCAGAUAAAUAUAUCUUUGUGGAAACAACUUAUAUAUACUUCAACUGUUUAUUAGUUAUAUAAAGUUGUGGGGUCUUUUUUUCAUUUAUGCUGUGAAAUGAUGGUCGAACCGUAUGCUGAUCAACUUCAGCAGUCAGGUCAGGUCGAAGUGGGGGUUGGAAAAGGUGGUAAUGGAUUUUACCACUCUUUUGUUGUUGGCAUAACCGUCUUUCUAUCGGUGUAUAAAGUGUGGUUCUCAUGUAAUGACCUCGGUUACAAACGGUGGCAUUGAUCAUCUUAGUUCGAUACUUUUGUAUUUUCUCAUGUAUCGGUGAAUUUGUAUUUGGUGCAUUAGCCACGAGUGGUCACUAAGAAAUGUUUGGACCCACUCACUAUAAAUUUCAGGACCUAAUUAUCAAGUAAUAUGGCGUUUCUUUUUUUUUUGUCAAUUUAUUACUGGGCCACAACGGGCCGGCCCAGUUGGCCCAUCAACCUUACCACAGGAAGCGCAGGUCGAACCCGAAAUGUCUGGGAGAUUGACGUGGUACGCAGACCACCUGUCCUAAA
Molecule: long non-coding RNA, 558 nt
Filed under: Brassica napus (rape)
Lineage: Eukaryota; Viridiplantae; Streptophyta; Magnoliopsida; Brassicales; Brassicaceae
Description: long non-coding RNA (BNAP_LNC026049)
Source: RNAcentral